CUAAGUAUAAGCAAUUAUACAGCGAAACUGCGAAUGGCUCAUUAUAUAAGUUAUCGUUUAUUUGAUAGUACCUUACUACUUGGAUAACCGUGGUAAUUCUAGAGCUAAUACAUGCUAAAAAUCCCGACUUCGGAAGGGAUGUAUUUAUUAGAUUAAAAACCAAUGCCCUCCGGGGCUCACUGGUGAUUCAUGAUAACUCCUCGAAUCGCAUGGCCUUGCGCCGGCGAUGGUUCAUUCAAAUUUCUUCCCUAUCAACUUUCGAUGUUUGGGUAUUGGCCAAACAUGGUUGCAACGGGUAACGGAGGGUUAGGGCUCGACCCCGGAGAAGGAGCCUGAGAAACGGCUACUACAUCCAAGGAAGGCAGCAGGCGCGCAAAUUACCCAAUCCCGACUCGGGGAGGUAGUGACAAUAAAUACUGAUACAGGGCUCUUUUGGGUCUUGUAAUUGGAAUGAGUACAAUUUAAAUCCCUUAACGAGGAACAAUUGGAGGGCAAGUCUGGUGCCAGCAGCCGCGGUAAUUCCAGCUCCAAUAGCGUAUAUUAAAGUUGUUGUGGUUAAAAAGCUCGUAGUUGAACCUUGGGCCUGGCUGGCCGGUCCGCCUCACCGCGUGUACUGGUCCGGCCGGGCCUUUCCCUCUGUGGAACCCCAUGCCCUUCACUGGGUGUGGCGGGGAAACAGGACUUUUACUGUGAAAAAAUUAGAGUGCUCCAGGCAGGCCUAUGCUCGAAUACAUUAGCAUGGAAUAAUAGAAUAGGACGUGUGGUUCUAUUUUGUUGGUUUCUAGGACCGCCGUAAUGAUUAAUAGGGACAGUCGGGGGCAUCAGUAUUCAAUUGUCAGAGGUGAA
RNAcentral lists this ribosomal RNA (846 nucleotides) under Fusarium sp. SC110909A. RNAcentral describes it as "SSU rRNA". It matches the Rfam family "Eukaryotic small subunit ribosomal RNA", at positions 59 to 915 of the family's 1831-position model. The record is from RNAcentral. Lineage: Eukaryota; Fungi; Ascomycota; Sordariomycetes; Hypocreales; Nectriaceae.